GACGAACGCUGGCGGCGUGCUUAACACAUGCAAGUCGAACGGAAAGGCCCUGCUUUUGUGGGGUGCUCGAGUGGCGAACGGGUGAGUAACACGUGAGUAACCUGCCCUUGACUUUGGGGUAACUUCAGGAAACUGGGGCUAAUACCGGAUAGGAGCUCCUGCUGCAUGGUGGGGGUUGGAAAGUUUCGGCGGUUGGGGAUGGACUCGCGGCUUAUCAGCUUGUUGGUGGGGUAGUGGCUUACCAAGGCUUUGACGGGUAGCCGGCCUGGGAGGGUGACCGGCCACAUUGGAACUGGGAUACGGCCCAGACUCCUACGGGAGGCAGCGGUGGGAAAUAUUGCACAAUGGGCGGAAGCCUAAUGCAGCAACGCCGCGUGCGGGAUGACGGCCUUCGGGUUGUAAACCGCUUUCGCCUGUGACGAAGCGUGAGUGACGGUAAUGGGUAAAGAAGCACCGGCUAACUACGUG
This 468-nucleotide ribosomal RNA is filed under the name uncultured bacterium. RNAcentral describes it as "partial 16S ribosomal RNA". It matches the Rfam family "Bacterial small subunit ribosomal RNA", at positions 28 to 507 of the family's 1533-position model. The record is from RNAcentral.